CCGAGGUGCAGCGGCCACCGAACGCAUCGGGGGCAGGGCACGCAGAGGUGCCGCGUGGCGAGGCCGGGAAGGAACGGAGGUGCAGGGACUGGGACUCUUUACCGGAAGUCGGAAGGGUCGGACGGAAGCAGAACGGAAUGGAAGAUCACUGAAAACCAAGGAAUAUCUCUUACUGAAAACCCUUCAUCUGAAUUCUAGACCUCUGAAGAUGUGGCUAUUUAACAGCAACUGUGAUGUCAAAGGGCUUUAACUUUAAGUGGAAAUGUCAGGACUAUGCAUCUGAACACAGAAUUUGAUGGCGGCAGCCUUUAAGAUGACCCCGUAUGAUCCUUUUCUCCUGCUGUUCAGACCACUUGAAAUCCCCACAAUUUGAAUAUGAGCUGAAUGUGGUGUCUCCUGCCUUUAACAAAAAGAAAAAAAUAUCAGUUUUCACUUCCAAAAUUAGGUUACAGAAAGACCAUGGCUUUUGUUUUGGAUUGCCCUCACCUGCUUUGAAGAAAGCUAGAUGCCAUGUUGUGAGCUGCCCUAUGAAGAAACCCAUAUGGCAAGAAACUGAUGUCUCCAACCAUAGCAAUGAGGACCUGGUGGCUGCCAACAGCCAUGUGAGUGAGCCUGGAAGCAUACCACCCCCAGUCAAGCUUUGAUAUGGUCCAACUCUGGUCGAAGCACCUAAAUAGGCUCUGUUAGAUACCCUAAAAUAGAGAUGCUAGACUAAGCUACACCAGAUUCCUAAUCCUUUCAGGCAGUAAAUUUUAAGUCAGUAAUUUAUAUUGAGUCAGUAAAUUAAGUGCAUUUCCUGUGAUUUCCAUGUGCAUCCAGAAUUCUUGAAAGACAAAUGCUGAAGCCAGGAACUAAUAUCAGUGGAAGUUAAAUUUGUUAAUGCUUUCCAUCUACCCCAAAUGAUUUUCACUUGAAGUGAAAAUCAGCCACUUAUACAAUAACAAGUGUCAUGGGAAAAUUGUCAUCACAAACAAUGAAGAAUGUUGUCCUGAAAGAGUUCUGAUAUCGACAAGUAUUGCUAAAAUUUAAACUUAAGGAUCAGCUGUGGCCAUUUUAACAACUAUUUCAGAAAUGAAAAAAGUAUUAAAUGAGAAACUAUAUCGAGAAAGUCUUCAAACCUUGGGAAUCUAAUUCUAUGGAUUCUGUGCUUGCUUUCUGAUUUUCAGUGACCCUUCACUGAGCCACAUAGCCCUUUACUUGUCAUCACUUCAAUGACUAAUCAAGUCUGCGGAUUUGGGGAAGAACAACUGAUGUACAGCCAUGCAAAGGAAAAUGCAAGGAGUGAUUUGCUAUCAGUACAGCAGCACACAGCAGAUGAUUUAGUAUUUCAAGCAAUUCAUUUUUCUGCAAUCAUUUCUUUUCAGCUCUCUUCAUUUGAUCAUGUUUAAUGUAUGAUGAUGAUACAUUAUUCACUCAAUACUCUUGAUUUCACUUUCAAAAGCAUGGAAAUUAAUCCAAAUCAAAACUAACAUGUACCACCCCCCCCCCCAAAAAAAAUCCACCCUCUUGAAGUUUGCAUAGUCCAAUCCUCAUUUUAAAAAAGAACAGAUGUAAUUUCAAAAAUAGGACCAUGGCUAAUUAAACCAGUGUUUUUUUCUAACCAUGGUUACUCAGAAUUCUUAGAGGCUAAUCUAUUUGUAGACACUCCAGGAAUCCCAAAAGGCUAAAGGCAAUAAAAAGAAAGGGAGAGAAAGAGAAAGUCUAUGGUGUGGGGUGGUACCAGGAGUGCACUAUUUAUACACCUUGUGUGCAAAGUAACAACUUUUCCAUAGUUUUGAAAAAACGAGGGGGUGUGGCAAAAUAGGGAACACAGCAACAUUUGAAAAGCUUUUAAAUGAGCCAUUUCCACACAAGCACAUUUCUGGUGGUUGAGUUGCACAUUUUGUUUUACCUUAUAGGACAGAAUAAUGAUGCAGUGAUAUUCACAAGGCAAAAGAUGGAGGCCCGCUGAAAUAGACAUAGAAGAAAGAAUUCUUUAUUUUGAAUUGAAAAUGCUUGUGCUGUGGAGAGCCAGAAAUUUAAAGAAACUCAGCCUUUGUUUCUCCUCAUUCUCCCCUUUUGUUUUCAUUCACCCCCUUCUUUGGUGAAUUUUGUAGGCAGCCUGUUGUUUCAGGGGCCACAGGUUUAUGGAAAGCCAGAGAUCUGAAGUAUGCACCAUUUGGAGAAUGCAGAAGGGGAUUUAAAAUGGAUGUGUGUGGCACCAGUGACAGCUGAACUGGCUGUUAACGUGGGAUCUUGUUAAGUUAGCUACAGAAUACCAGAAGCCCAGCAAUGGCACCGCAGAGGGAUCAGACUUGUAUUAAUACUAACAUUGCCGAACCAUGAUCUUAGAAUAGGGACUUGGAUUCUUGUUCCAGAGUGGACUCCAGUAUGGGCUUAACAAUACUGUCUUACUUCAGCCUGCAUAUUAUCAAAACUACUUAUUUUUCGUAGGGUAGGCUAGGACUAGAGGACGAUAAUGAUGGUAUUAACCGCAAACUCUUACGUAGCACUCACUGGGUGCCACCUCCAUUCAGAGUGCCAUCUACAUAAUAACUCAGUUAAUCCUCAAUACCCCACUGAUUCUCAGUGGAAGGGAAGAGUUUUGUCCCGCCCCCACCCACCAGGGGACAUUGGGCAAUGUCUAGAGACAUUUUUGGCUGUCACUACUGAAGGGGAAAUGCUACUGGCAUCAUGUGGGUAGGAGCUGGGGAUGCCUUAACACCCUACCCCGCAUAGGACUGUCCCUUCAACAAAGAAUUAUCUAGCCCCAAAUGUCAGUAGUGCCACAGUUGGUUGAGAAAACCUGCAUAACCCUAUGAAGUAGAUAGGAUUAUUAUUCCCAUUUGACAGGUGGGGAGACUGAGUCACAGAGAAGUUAAGUCAUUUUGCAUAAGGAAGAGCUGGGGUGUGAACCCAGCAGGCCAUCUCCAACAUCUGGACUCUAACCCUCUUUGCUAUAUGAAAUAGCAGCUUCAGCUGGUUCUCUUGGAAAAAUCAACUUCUCUCCCUGGUGGCAUCAAAUGCAAGGCUCCAGUGUGCUGGCACCACCAAUUGCCUGUUUCUUGAUUAGAGAGAGAAGUGAUCAUUGUAAAGCUCACCAUCUACAGGGGACAAGUUGGCAGUGCCUAUCAAAACUGAAACUACAUCUUUCCUUUGGCCAAACCAGGGUGAAAAGAUGAAUGCAGAAGGGUAAUCAGUGCAGUGUUGUUUGAACAAAGAAUACAAACUUCAUUGACAGGGAGCAGGUAAAUGCCUUGUGAGGUGUUCCAUAAGCAGCAGAGGAUGGAAUAUUCUCAGCUCUUCAACGAGAGGUAAAUUUUUGCAUUGAUCCAAAGGAUCAUUAGGACCUAUUGUUAAAAAAAAGGAAAGAAAAAGGUAACUAAGUGAGGUGGUGGAUGUGUUAAUACACUGGAUUGUAGUCAUUUCACAAAUGUGUACAUAUAUCAAAUCAUGUUGUAUAAAUACAUACAAUUUUAUUUGUUAAUUAUACCAAUAAAGUUGGGGGUGGGGAGAGACUUGUUAAACCAAAAAGGAGAAAAUUUUAAAAUAAAAUAAAAUAAAUAUAAUAAAACAAUAAAUAAAAAAUCAAACAAUAACUUAAAAAUAAAACAAUAAAUACAUCUUGUGCAGUAUACAACUAUUUGAAACAAAAGGAAAGUAUGUGUGAAUAUAUUUUAUUUAUGUUUUUUGUUUUGUAUAUAUCCAUACAUCUAGAAUCUCUCUAGAUGGGACACACAAAACUGAUCCUAAGGUACUAAGAAGAAGGAAACCUUAUUUACCAUAUACCUUUUGCACUGUUUGAAAACUGAUUUUACCAUGUGCACAUAUUGCCUUUUAUAAAUAAAAUGCUUCAUGCUUUACAAAGAACUUUUAUUUGCAUUGUUUCCUGUGUUGCUCACCCCAUUUUAGAGAUGGCAACACCAGAGCAGAGAAGUGGCCUGAGCUACCCGAGGCCACUCACUUCCGGCUGCCCCCACAUAUCGCCCUUCAUCAUUUCCCAAAGCAUUCAGGGAAGUAUCCAUCUGCUUCAUCAGAAGACACUGAAGCCAAGAUACCACAAGGGGCCUUCUAAGA
Molecule: long non-coding RNA, 4056 nt
Organism: Manis javanica (Malayan pangolin)
Lineage: Eukaryota; Metazoa; Chordata; Mammalia; Pholidota; Manidae
Source: RefSeq, a predicted model, not a curated record